UGGCAAUACCAAACAACUCAGAUCGUAGAAUUCUGGCCAGCAUUCGGUCCACAAAAGAGGAACAAGGAAAUGGAUCAUUUCUGUGUGUCUGCGGAGCCAGCUUCCAUCCACAGAGGACCCACGGCGGGCUGAUGGGGCCACAGUAACGUCACGACACAGACACCACCACGUCCCGAGGAGCACUGAAGAUUUUGACCAAAAUACCCCCAAACAUGAAGCUAGGACCAUCAGUUGAGAAACUUACAACCCAGUGACCUAUUUUCGUUUGCACUUCUUAAAGGGCCGGCCUUCUUAUUGCAUUUAAAUGAGAAUAAAAAUUGAGACUUUAAAAGAUCUUAUAAAGAAGCCCAUUGGUAAGUAAAAGACCAUUUGUUU
Molecule: long non-coding RNA, 375 nt
Organism: Mustela erminea (ermine)
Lineage: Eukaryota; Metazoa; Chordata; Mammalia; Carnivora; Mustelidae
Exons: 2
Source: RefSeq, a predicted model, not a curated record